GUGGCGGUCCUUGUGGUUUUGGCACCGAGCAGUGUGCCACGACCGUCAUGACUCCACGCAGAGCGAGGCUGGUUCCUGCCGACAGGGCCUGUAAAGGCAUUGGCUUCCCUGUGCGAUGGUUCCAUACAUU
Non-coding RNA from Nematolebias whitei (Rio pearlfish), 130 nucleotides. Lineage: Eukaryota; Metazoa; Chordata; Actinopteri; Cyprinodontiformes; Rivulidae. The record is from RefSeq and is a predicted model, not a curated record.